GACGAACGCUGGCGGCGUGCUUAACACAUGCAAGUCGAACGAAGUGGCGAACGGGUGAGUAAUACGUGGGUAACCUGCCCUCCUUUUUGGGAUAAGCCUCGGAAACGGGGUCUAAUACCGACUAAAGGGGGAUGGGCUCGCGGUCUAUCGGCUUGUUGGUGGGGUGAUGGCCUACCAAGGCGGUGACGGGUAGCCGGCGUGAGAGGGUGACCGGCGACAUUGGGACGGAGAGACGGCCCAGACUACUACGGGGGGCAGCAGUGGGGGAUAUUGCACAAUGGGCGAAAGCCUGAUGCAGCGACGCCGCAUGGGGGAUGAAGGCUUUCGGGUUGUAAACCUCUUUCGCUAUCGAAAGGGUAGUUGGAGAAGAAGCGCCGGCUAACUACGUGCCAGCCGCCGCGGUAAUAC
Molecule: ribosomal RNA, 408 nt
Filed under: uncultured bacterium
Lineage: Bacteria
Description: partial 16S ribosomal RNA
Rfam family: Bacterial small subunit ribosomal RNA
Source: RNAcentral